RNAcentral lists this ribosomal RNA (520 nucleotides) under uncultured Glomus. RNAcentral's name for it is "SSU rRNA". It matches the Rfam family "Eukaryotic small subunit ribosomal RNA", at positions 569 to 1090 of the family's 1831-position model. Lineage: Eukaryota; Fungi; Glomeromycota; Glomeromycetes; Glomerales; Glomeraceae. The record is from RNAcentral.
AGCAGCCGCGGUAAUUCCAGCUCCAAUAGCGUAUAUUAAAGUUGUUGCAGUUAAAAAGCUCGUAGUUGAAUUUCGGGGUCAGUAGGUUGGUCACGCCUCCGGUAUGUACUGGUCUCACUGAUUCCUCCUUCCUGAUGAGCCGUAAUGCCAUUAAUUUGGUGUUGCGGGGAAUCUGGACUGUUACUUUGAAAAAAUUAGAGUGUUUAAAGCAAGCUAACGCUUGAAUACAUUAGCAUGGAAUAAUGGAAUAGGACGUUCGAUCCUAUUUUGUUGGUUUCUAGGAUUGACGUAAUGAUUAAUAGGGAUAGUUGGGGGCAUUAGUAUUCAAUUGUCAGAGGUGAAAUUCUUGGAUUUAUUGAAGACUAACUACUGCGAAAGCAUUUGCCAAGGAUGUUUUCUAUUAAUCAAGAACGAAAGUUAGGGGAUCGAAGACGAUCAGAUACCGUCGUAGUCUUAACCAUAAACUAUGCCGACUAGGGAUCGGAUGAUGUUAAUUUUUAAUGACUCAUUCGGCGCCUUA